RNAcentral lists this transfer RNA (85 nucleotides) under Thiococcus pfennigii. Its description in RNAcentral is "tRNA-Leu". It matches the Rfam family "tRNA". From Rfam's summary of the family: Transfer RNA (tRNA) molecules are approximately 80 nucleotides in length. Their secondary structure includes four short double-helical elements and three loops (D, anti-codon, and T loops). Lineage: Bacteria; Pseudomonadati; Pseudomonadota; Gammaproteobacteria; Chromatiales; Chromatiaceae. RNAcentral also lists the same sequence under 2 other names. The record is from RNAcentral.
GCCGACGUGGUGGAAUUGGUAGACACGCUAUCUUGAGGGGGUAGUGGCGCAAGCCGUGACGGUUCGAGUCCGUCCGUCGGCACCA